UCACCGGUACAAUGGCAAGCAGUGUUCCAGUGAAUUUAUGCGCCAAUAUGCGAUAUAUUCGAGGCCCGAUCGAGCAAUAACGCGAACGAAAUAAUAGUCACUUCGCUACGGAGUUGUCUGAGAGAAUUUCUCCUAGUGUGAGACCUUUGUUGAGGUUAUUCUGCGAGUCGACUCGGAAAAUGGACAGCUUUCCCCCUCCAGAUAAAAAGAAACGUACAAAAAUCAACAAACGUGCAAAUGAACGGCGAGAUCAAGCAGAACGAAACCCAUUUUCAGUCUGACAAUUGAAGCAAAAAAGAAUCAGCAAAGUCGUUUAGAAGCUAUCAAACAGAGGAUAAGCAACGCGAAAUCGGCUCUUGGUAUAGGUAGAAAGACUUCUACCACGCAAAAUACUGAUUUAAUGGAAAGACUUCUCUCGUAUUUUGAAAUGAUUUGUUCAUCAGCUGUGGAAAGUAGCUCUUCAUCUAUCACCAAGACUGAUGUGCUCGAAGGGCCGAGAAUCCAAUGUGUGAAUGUUGUGGCGAAGAUUACAGAUAGGCUUCAGCUACUUUUUGAAGUCAAGGGCACGUUUGUAAGAUUGAAGUUCCCUGUGUGUAAUGACUCAGUUACUUGGCUCAGUUCUGGAGUUUUGGGACACCCUGCAAAGUACCACGCCACCAAUGUUAGAAUGGUUCCUGCAUUCACAUGUACUGGACUUACUGAAACUCACUAUCAUGGUUUUACUGAGGCCGCUGGCAUUGGCUGUGUGAUGGA
Long non-coding RNA from Stylophora pistillata, 753 nucleotides. The record is from RefSeq and is a predicted model, not a curated record. Lineage: Eukaryota; Metazoa; Cnidaria; Anthozoa; Scleractinia; Pocilloporidae.